This 264-nucleotide ribosomal RNA is filed under the name uncultured archaeon. Its description in RNAcentral is "partial 16S ribosomal RNA". It matches the Rfam family "Archaeal small subunit ribosomal RNA", at positions 717 to 982 of the family's 1478-position model. The record is from RNAcentral.
ACACGACUACAUUAGAUACCCCGGUAGUCCCAGCCCUAAACGAUGCGCGUUAGGUGUAUCGGUGACCACGAGUCACCGAGGUGCCGAAGGGAAACCGUGAAACGUGCCGCCUGGGAAGUACGGUCGCAAGGCUGAAACUUAAAGGAAUUGGCGGGGAGCACCACAACGGGUGGAGCCUGCGGUUUAAUUGGACUCAACGCCGGGAAGCUCACCGGAUAAGACAGCGGAAUGAUUGCCGGGCUGAAGACCCUGCAUGACCAGCUG